RNAcentral lists this transfer RNA (63 nucleotides) under Camelus bactrianus (Bactrian camel). It matches the Rfam family "tRNA", at positions 5 to 66 of the family's 71-position model. Rfam says of the family: Transfer RNA (tRNA) molecules are approximately 80 nucleotides in length. Their secondary structure includes four short double-helical elements and three loops (D, anti-codon, and T loops). The record is from Rfam by way of RNAcentral. Lineage: Eukaryota; Metazoa; Chordata; Mammalia; Artiodactyla; Camelidae. RNAcentral also lists the same sequence under 2 other names.
GUGUAGCUCAGUGGUAGAGCGCAUGCCUAGCAUGCACAAGGUUCUGGGUUCAAUCCCCAGUAC